RNAcentral lists this ribosomal RNA (217 nucleotides) under Campeiostachys nutans. RNAcentral describes it as "Elymus nutans partial small subunit ribosomal RNA". The stretch from base 46 to 217 matches the Rfam family "Eukaryotic small subunit ribosomal RNA", at positions 691 to 864 of the family's 1831-position model. The record is from RNAcentral. Lineage: Eukaryota; Viridiplantae; Streptophyta; Magnoliopsida; Poales; Poaceae.
GGGUUUAUCCGUUGGUCGGGCUUUUGGGUCUGUACUGGCGUGAUGAAUUCCUACCUUCUGAAUAACCAGCAUGCCAUUAAUUUGGUGCGCCGGGGAAGCAGGACUGUUACCUUGAAAAAAUUAGAGUGUUUAAAGCAGGCUCACGCUUGAAUACAUUAGCAUGGAAUAAUGAAAUAGGACGUUUGAUUCUAUUUUGUUGGUUUCUAGGAUCGACGUA